This is a long non-coding RNA of Girardinichthys multiradiatus, 1639 nucleotides long. RefSeq lists it as uncharacterized. Lineage: Eukaryota; Metazoa; Chordata; Actinopteri; Cyprinodontiformes; Goodeidae. The transcript is spliced from 2 exons. The record is from RefSeq and is a predicted model, not a curated record.
CCUCCCUCCCUUCGCCUCCUCUCUAUUCCACUCUCAGUCAUCCAUCAGUCUAGUUACGACUGCCAACUCCAUGCCUGCUCCCCGGGCACUGCUGAGAGGGAGCGACAUGGGCAGGCAGAGAGAAAGGAGCAGCGUCGAGGUAAAAAGAGGUGGAGCAGAAGGUGGGAGACAGGGACGCUUCGGCUCAGUUAGAUCAGAUCAGAGUUUUCUGCUUUUUGAUUUCUUUUUUUAUCUUCUCCUACUUCUCUGUGAGCUGAACAGGCAAGCAUGACAAAAAGAGCAGAUGGUCGCGGCAAUUAGAGAUCGCAGGCAGCAUCUUCCAGCAUGAGGCCCCGCUGUAGCACCAGGAGAGACCACCUGGAUGACUCAAGCUUCGAGGAUGACCUCACGCUGCUCGGGCUGGCUUCCAAACAGCCAGCAGAACCUGUUCCUUUCUCCCAGAUCUUUCUUUCUUCUCCUUGCUAUCUGCCUAUCGCUGUCCUCGUGUCUGCAACUGUAUCCCUACUCCAUUGUAUCUUUUUCACGUGUUACAUCUACUAUUCAGUGUAUCUUAUCUGGCGAAAAGCUCAUGCUACAUGUUUUUUUUCUCCUUAAUUUUCUUCCCCUAUCUGCCUUUUAUUUUCCUUUAAGGUUUCCAUCUGUUUUGGUGCCCCCCUCCUUCGUUUGCUGCCUUUAUUAAACGACCCCCCGUCCCUCUCUCAUUCUAUCUCUUUGUCUCUCUAUCUGUCUUUUCUCCCUCCCUUGCGCUUUGUUGUCUAAACAAAGUGGCCUUUAUCAGGAUGAGCUGCAACCCAAACAAGCCAAACAAAAGAUAUGGGCGAGAAAAUCUGCCCGCAGAAGAGGGAGGAUCUUAUCGUGCCAGCCUUUGUGUGCCAGCCUGCCAACUGGCGAUGCCCCCUGCCGCCGCCAACCCCUCCCCGAUCUCACACACACACACAUUAAUAUGCCAAAUGUUGGCAUCACCGCAACGAGCUGGCACCUGACCUGGCCGAAAGGAAAGUGGAGGCGACGUGAAGACGAACUGUUCGAUGGAGGGAGCGCCAUCUUUGAGAUGAUAUUCUCUGACAAGCUAUAAAUCCUGAAGUGAGGUGCAGAGAACACCUCAGAUAUGCUCCUUUUGCUUUAUCUAAACACUUUACAGAAGGGAUUCACCGUUCAGGCUUGUACCAGCACUAAUACAGAAUUCCAGUUUUCCUUUACACCAAAGUGGGAUGGAUGCAAUCUCUCCUGAUCAGACCAGAAGACAUGCGACUAAACAUAUUACUGGUCAAAUAAAUAAUAAAUAAACUGAACUAAAAAAGUGAAUUGGCCUUAAAAGACAAAAUAAUGCUGUAGGUUCCUUGAUAGAUUCAGUAAUUUUGAAUGCAGCAGAAAAUUAAGGGAUAACAAGAUUGUCUCCAUUUCUAUAUCACCCCACCUACAGCCCAGACUGCUGGAGAUAGGCACCAGCUUCCCCGCGACCUACUAUAGAAGAAGCGAUAGAAAAUGACUGACUGAAGAGUUCAUAACUCCUGCUUGGAAUGAGGUGUUUACGUCCUGUUUGCAGUAUCAGUGGGAACUGUAAAGGGCAUUAACAAACCCUGUUGUUUAAAAUUGCAUUUAUAACUACACUGAUAAUAAAUUAAUCUGAAGAUCAUUG